RNAcentral lists this ribosomal RNA (1594 nucleotides) under Levilactobacillus brevis. RNAcentral describes it as "bacterial SSU rRNA". It matches the Rfam family "Bacterial small subunit ribosomal RNA". The record is from RNAcentral. Lineage: Bacteria; Bacillati; Bacillota; Bacilli; Lactobacillales; Lactobacillaceae.
UGCCUAAUACAUGCAAGUCGAACGAGCUUCCGUUGAAUGACGUGCUUGCACUGAUUUUAACAAUGAAGCGAGUGGCGAACUGGUGAGUAACACGUGGGAAAUCUGCCCAGAAGCAGGGGAUAACACUUGGAAACAGGUGCUAAUACCGUAUAACAACAAAAUCCGCAUGGAUUUUGUUUGAAAGGUGGCUUCGGCUAUCACUUCUGGAUGAUCCCGCGGCGUAUUAGUUAGUUGGUGAGGUAAAGGCCCACCAAGACGAUGAUACGUAGCCGACCUGAGAGGGUAAUCGGCCACAUUGGGACUGAGACACGGCCCAAACUCCUACGGGAGGCAGCAGUAGGGAAUCUUCCACAAUGGACGAAAGUCUGAUGGAGCAAUGCCGCGUGAGUGAAGAAGGGUUUCGGCUCGUAAAACUCUGUUGUUAAAGAAGAACACCUUUGAGAGUAACUGUUCAAGGGUUGACGGUAUUUAACCAGAAAGCCACGGCUAACUACGUGCCAGCAGCCGCGGUAAUACGUAGGUGGCAAGCGUUGUCCGGAUUUAUUGGGCGUAAAGCGAGCGCAGGCGGUUUUUUAAGUCUGAUGUGAAAGCCUUCGGCUUAACCGGAGAAGUGCAUCGGAAACUGGGAGACUUGAGUGCAGAAGAGGACAGUGGAACUCCAUGUGUAGCGGUGGAAUGCGUAGAUAUAUGGAAGAACACCAGUGGCGAAGGCGGCUGUCUAGUCUGUAACUGACGCUGAGGCUCGAAAGCAUGGGUAGCGAACAGGAUUAGAUACCCUGGUAGUCCAUGCCGUAAACGAUGAGUGCUAAGUGUUGGAGGGUUUCCGCCCUUCAGUGCUGCAGCUAACGCAUUAAGCACUCCGCCUGGGGAGUACGACCGCAAGGUUGAAACUCAAAGGAAUUGACGGGGGCCCGCACAAGCGGUGGAGCAUGUGGUUUAAUUCGAAGCUACGCGAAGAACCUUACCAGGUCUUGACAUCUUCUGCCAAUCUUAGAGAUAAGACGUUCCCUUCGGGGACAGAAUGACAGGUGGUGCAUGGUUGUCGUCAGCUCGUGUCGUGAGAUGUUGGGUUAAGUCCCGCAACGAGCGCAACCCUUAUUAUCAGUUGCCAGCAUUCAGUUGGGCACUCUGGUGAGACUGCCGGUGACAAACCGGAGGAAGGUGGGGAUGACGUCAAAUCAUCAUGCCCCUUAUGACCUGGGCUACACACGUGCUACAAUGGACGGUACAACGAGUUGCGAAGUCGUGAGGCUAAGCUAAUCUCUUAAAGCCGUUCUCAGUUCGGAUUGUAGGCUGCAACUCGCCUACAUGAAGUUGGAAUCGCUAGUAAUCGCGGAUCAGCAUGCCGCGGUGAAUACGUUCCCGGGCCUUGUACACACCGCCCGUCACACCAUGAGAGUUUGUAACACCCAAAGCCGGUGAGAUAACCUUCGGGAGUCAGCCGUCUAAGGUGGGACAGAUGAUUAGGGUGAAGUCGUAACAAGGUAGCCGUAGGAGAACCUGCGGCUGGAUCACCUCCUUUCUAAGGAAUAUACGGAGGCUACACAUACUUGUUGAAACAAUGUUCAGUUUUGAGGGGCUUACCUCUCUAAAC